RNAcentral lists this ribosomal RNA (426 nucleotides) under uncultured bacterium. RNAcentral describes it as "bacterial SSU rRNA". It matches the Rfam family "Bacterial small subunit ribosomal RNA", at positions 354 to 796 of the family's 1533-position model. The record is from RNAcentral.
GUGAGGAAUAUUGCUCAAUGGGCGAAAGCCUGAAGCAGCAACGCCGCGUGCACGAUGAAGGCCUUCGGGUCGUAAAGUGCUUUUGAGAGGGACGAGAUAGGACGGUACCUCUCGAAUAAGUCACGGCUAACUACGUGCCAGCAGCCGCGGUAAAACGUAGGUGGCAAGCGUUAUCCGGAUUCACUGGGCGUAAAGCGCGUGCAGGUGGCUUCGUAAGUUGGACGUUAAAUCUUUCGGCUUAACCGGGAGUGGUCGUUCAAUACUGCGGGGCUUGAGGGCAGAAGAGGGGGGUGGAAUUGCCGGUGUAGUGGUGAAAUGCGUAGAUAUCGGCAGGAACACCUGUGGCGAAAGCGGCCCCCUGGUCUGCUCCUGACACUCAGACGCGAAAGCCAGGGUAGCGAACGGGAUUAGAAACCCUUGUAGUCC